RNAcentral lists this ribosomal RNA (1707 nucleotides) under Pictichromis paccagnellae (royal dottyback). Its description in RNAcentral is "16S ribosomal RNA". It matches the Rfam family "Bacterial large subunit ribosomal RNA". Lineage: Eukaryota; Metazoa; Chordata; Actinopteri; Pseudochromidae. The record is from RNAcentral.
GCCUAACAGCUAGCCUCCCUAAAAUCCCUAACACACCCCUAUCAAUAUCCCCUCACGCAUUACCAUAAUAAAUUAAACCAUUUUUCCCCCUCAGUAUGGGAGACAGAAAAGGAACCCAGAGCAACAGAGAAAGUACCGCAAGGGAACGCUGAAAAAGAAAUGAAAUAACCCAACAUAAGCAUAAAAAAGCAGAGGCUUAGGCUCUUACCUUUUGCAUCAUGAUUUAGCCAGAAACCCUUAAGCAAAAAGAACUGUAGUUUAAGCCCCCGAAACUGAGUGAGCUACUCCAAGCCAGCCUGAUUUUAGGGCACACCCGUCUCUGUGGCAAAAGAGUGGGAGGAGCUUUGAGUAGCGGUGACAGACCUAUCGAACUCAGCUAUAGCUGGUUGUCCGGGAACCGAAUAGGAGUUCAACCUUUCCAUAGUCUCUACUCGAUUGCCCUAUACGCACCUUUCCCCCUUCUCCGGGGGACCCCUUAGAGCCAAAGACAUGUUAAGAGUCAUUCAAAAGGGGUACAGCCCUUUUGAGACAAGAAACAACUUUAACAGAAGGUUAAAGAUCACAAUUAAUUAAGGUUGACUGACCAAAGUGGGCUUAAAAGCAGCCACCUUAAAAGAAAGCGUUAAAGCUCAGACACCCUUGCACCCCAAUAAUUCAGAUAACUAAUCUUAAGCCUCUAUCUUUACCGGACCGUUCCAUCCCCCUAUGGAAGCGAUAAUGCUAAAAUAAGUAAUAAGAGGGUACUCGCCCCUCUCUCCGCACUCGUGUAAUUCGGAUCGAACCACGCACCGAAAAUUAACGGCCCCAAACAAAGAGGGCACUGAGAAACAAAAAAGCCAGCGGGAAAACCACCCAACAGUACACCGUUAUCCCCACACAGGAGCGCCCACAGAGAAAGACUAAAAGAAAAAAAAGGAACUCGGCAAACCCCUUAGCCUCGCCUGUUUACCAAAAACAUCGCCUCUUGUCCAUCUCAAAUAAGAGGUCCCGCCUGCCCAGUGACCAUGAGUUCAACGGCCGCGGUAUUUUAACCGUGCAAAGGUAGCGCAAUCACUUGUUCUUUAAAUGAGGACCUGUAUGAAUGGCUAGACGAGGGCUAGACUGUCUCUUUUCUUCGGUCAAUGAAAUUGAUCUCCCCGUGCAGAAGCGGGGAUACCCGCAUAAGACGAGAAGACCCUGUGGAGCUUUAGACACUAGAGACAGACCCUGUUAAGCCCCCCGGCCAAGGGGAUAAACUUAGGGGCCCCUUCUCCCAUGUCUUCGGUUGGGGCGACCACGGGGAAAAAAAUAACCCCCACGUGGACAAAGAACAUUGACUUCUCACACCAGAGAGCCGCCGCUCAAGCUCACAGAACCUCUGACCUAAGGAUCCGGCAACGCCGAUCAACGAACCAAGUUACCCCAGGGAUAACAGCGCAAUCCUCUUUUAGAGGCCUUAUCGACAAGAGGGUUUACGACCUCGAUGUUGGAUCAGGACAUCCUAAUGGUGCAGCCGCUAUUAAGGGUUCGUUUGUUCAACGAUUAAAGUCCUACGUGAUCUGAGUUCAGACCGGAGCAAUCCAGGUCAGUUUCUAUCUAUGAAACAUUCUUUUCCAGUACGAAAGGACCGAAAAGAAGGGGCCCCUGCUUUAGGCACGCCCCACCCUUACCUGAUGAAAAAAGCUAAAUCAGGUAAAAGGGGGGCCCCACCCGCCUUAGAGAAAGGCA